GGAGCGGCAGGGCCUGGUGGCCCAGCCGGUCUUCAAAACCGGUACGCCGUCGUAACCCGGCGGUAGGUGGGUUCGACUCCCACGCCGCUCCG
Molecule: transfer RNA, 92 nt
Filed under: Actinomycetes bacterium
Lineage: Bacteria; Bacillati; Actinomycetota; Actinomycetes
Also listed under: 2 other names
Description: Actinobacteria bacterium tRNA-Sec
Rfam family: Selenocysteine transfer RNA
Source: RNAcentral